AUUGAACGCUGGCGGAAUGCUUUACACAUGCAAGUCGAGCGGCAGCGCGGGGGCAACCCUGGCGGCGAGCGGCGAACGGGUGAGUAAUACAUCGGAACGUGUCCUUAAGUGGGGGAUAGCUCGGCGAAAGCCGGAUUAAUACCGCAUAAGCUCUGAGGAGGAAAGCGGGGGCUCCGUAAGGACCUCGCGCUGUUGGAGCGGCCGAUGUCGGAUUAGCUAGUUGGUGGGGUAAAGGCCCACCAAGGCGACGAUCCGUAGCUGGUCUGAGAGGAUGAUCAGCCACACUGGAACUGAGACACGGUCCAGACUCCUACGGGAGGCAGCAGUGGGGAAUUUUGGACAAUGGGCGCAAGCCUGAUCCAGCCAUGCCGCGUGGGUGA
RNAcentral lists this ribosomal RNA (380 nucleotides) under uncultured bacterium. Its description in RNAcentral is "bacterial SSU rRNA". It matches the Rfam family "Bacterial small subunit ribosomal RNA", at positions 29 to 408 of the family's 1533-position model. The record is from RNAcentral.